Anoplophora glabripennis (Asian longhorned beetle) is the source of this 756-nucleotide long non-coding RNA. RefSeq lists it as uncharacterized. The transcript is spliced from 4 exons. The record is from RefSeq and is a predicted model, not a curated record. Lineage: Eukaryota; Metazoa; Arthropoda; Insecta; Coleoptera; Cerambycidae.
UGUAACCUAGUAGUCAUACAGAAAAGUUAAAUAACAAUUAAAAAGACUCGGAAAAUUUUUGUAUGAUUAUAAUGGCAUUCAAAUUGAGAGACGUCCACUGGGAAGUUAUGUUUAAUUAUUUUGAAAUGUAUCCUUCGAUGGCAACAGGGAAUUUCAAAGGUAUUCAAGGCAGAGAUGAAAACAGAAACGUGGAAUGAUUUAACGAUAAGAUUAAAUGCACUUGGUUGUGGAGAGAGAUCUGUAGAUAAAUGGAAAAAGGAUAGAUUUCAAAUGCUUAUUGAAAAAAAAAGCUAGUAAAUUACAAAGAGAGCAAGCUCUUACCGGUGGAGGAUUAGGAGACACGACAACUUAAUCAAUUUGAAACAAGAGCCCUACAAUUAUUAGGUACGAGUUUCCAUAAAGGUGUUAGGUGUUGGCUGUCCUGAAGUAGGUUUUACAGUUAAAAACACUACAACUCCUCAGCUAGUCUUGACACAAAUUGAGACAGCGGAGACCACAGAUGUAGAAGCAGAAGAGGAAGAAAAUUAUUGACAGAUGAUAUUGUCCCUCCACUCCCACCAACGUUCAAGUCAGUUGCAUCUACUAGUCACAUUAAUUGCGAGGAGCAUAAUUACACAAAGCGCGAUUCAAAAAGAAAACGAAAUUCAACAGAAAACACAUAUUUAGAAACUAUUACAAUUUUACAAGAAAUAAAAAAUGUAAUAGACCUACGAUUAGGUGAAGUUGUGACAAGUCUAAAUAAAUUAACUGAAGUUA